UACAGAGGUCCCGAGCGUUGUUCGGAUUCACUGGGCGUAAAGGGUGCGUAGGUGGCUUGAAAAGUUUGAUGUGAAAGCUCAGGGCUUAACCCUGAAAUGGCAUUGAAUACUGUCGGGCUGGAGGAUUGGAGGGGGGACUGGAAUUCUUGGUGUAGCAGUGAAAUGCGUAGAUAUCAAGAGGAACACCAGUGGCGAAGGCGAGUCCCUGGACAACAACUGACACUGAGGCACGAAAGACAGGGGAGCAAACGGG
Molecule: ribosomal RNA, 253 nt
Filed under: uncultured bacterium
Lineage: Bacteria
Description: partial 16S ribosomal RNA
Rfam family: Bacterial small subunit ribosomal RNA
Source: RNAcentral